RNAcentral lists this long non-coding RNA (545 nucleotides) under Vombatus ursinus (common wombat). Its description in RNAcentral is "lncRNA (ENSVURG00010017141.1)". Lineage: Eukaryota; Metazoa; Chordata; Mammalia; Diprotodontia; Vombatidae. The record is from RNAcentral.
GCUGAAUUUAAAUUUAGAAAAAUGGAGGUCGUUUUGACACAGCUUAAAGAUUUUUCUUCAAAAUCUGUCACAUUUAAUAGCUGUAGCCCAGCAGAAGUUUCCUCCUUGAGGUAUUACAGCAAAGAAGAUGGACCAGAUAGACAGAGCUUAGACAUUGAAAGUGCCUUGGCCUUCCUCAGAAAAGAACUGAGCUUAUUACUGUGCCUGGAGCUUACUGAAUUCAAUCCAACUAAGGGGUAUUUGGAAGAAGCAGCAGAUGAGUACAGUCAAGAGUCUGAAUAUUCUGAAGAAGGACCUGUUGGAGAAACGCCAUUGUCUACAAUGGUAUUGGUCCUCAGAGUAAAAUAUAAGACUCAUCUCAGCUAACUCUGAUCGAGAGACUGAUCCAAGACAAUUCCAAAGGAUCCAUAAUGAAUAAUGCUAUCGUGUUCAGAGACAGAACUGAUGAACUCUGAGUAUAAAUUGAAGAACAGUUUUCUCAUUUUAUUUUCUUGCUAUUUUUUGGUGAUAUGACUAAUAUGGAAAUAUAUUUUGCAUGACUUCAC